UUUUUUUUUUCGAGACUAAAAAUAAGGAGGACUAAUUUUUGCAUGUAUUCACCCUACUGCUCGGUAUCUUUGUUUUUUUAAGAAUGCAGUAACUGCCACAAUAAGGAGUUAGUUUGUAUCUUACAGCUGUGGAGGAUUAGGAAUUAAAUACUGAUUUCAUACUUCUACUGGUGUGCUUAUUACCCUUACAGUUCAUUAACGCCUGCUUUUGUUUCUCUUCCUGUGUAGUCUAAAACAACAGUUUUUCUUUUCUUUCUCAGCCCUCAUUAAGAACAAUGUUCGGUUACAGUCGGUACACAAACUCUGGCUGUGGUCCCAUGUUCACUAAUGUGUGUUAUCUGAACACUGUGACAGAAGUUUCAUCAGAAAUACAGCUUUGACGCAUGGCUUGGAUGGAAUAUUUAAGUCUUCUGCAGUGACCAAUGUCUUUUCUAUCUCAAUGGUCAUAUUUUCUGAUGAAAACACAACUGGCUGGAGUGCUUUGGACCAACUUUGCCCAAGUGUGAGGGUAAGAAGCUGCAUUCAGAGGUGCUGCAGCCCUCUUCCCUGGACGUGGCUUGAGUUCCCUAGGCACAAUCCAAGGCAGCAUCAGGGGCUCAGCGACACGUUUUCUUCUCUCCCUGGUGUGGCUGGCAAGGGAGGAACUGUAGAAGAAACCAUUCACAAAUGUAAGAACCCAGGAAUCCUGUAAAGGGAUCACCCUGUUCAGCAGUUCAGACAGGAGACUGCAGCCUGCAGCCCCCGCUUACCUAAUGACACCGUCUGGACCGCAGUCUGCCCACCUCCUGCCUCGGCACCACUGCAGCACGUUCAGUCGGAGCAGCAGCAAAGGCUGGAAAGGGUCUGUAGGACAAGGAGGGCAGCUCUCCCCUGCUCAGCUUGCAGACACAUGGUGAUUGCUGCCUGAGCUGUGUGAAAGUUAUUCUGUCUAUGUUUUAUUUUGUGGGUAAUGCGGCUUGUUGGGUUUUAUUAUUUUCUCUUUAUGCAAGGC
This 991-nucleotide long non-coding RNA is filed under the name Struthio camelus australis. RNAcentral's name for it is "lncRNA (ENSSCUG00000013312.1)". Lineage: Eukaryota; Metazoa; Chordata; Aves; Struthioniformes; Struthionidae. The record is from RNAcentral.